UUGCUACCAGCCCGCAAGGAAAACGACCCGUCCUGCCAGCACAGACGCGCGCACAGGCUUCUCAGGCCACAACCUAGGCCUGGGCCACCAAUCUACUCUCCCACCUGGGCCAAAUCAUGGUCCGACGGAUCUCAGCCGUUCAACUCGAUCUGAUGGUCGAGCGGCGAUUUGGGAGAGACCAAAACACCAUGCUACCGGUUCCCCAAAACCCUAGCUCAUUCUUCUCUUCUCA
RNAcentral lists this long non-coding RNA (232 nucleotides) under Setaria italica (foxtail millet). RNAcentral's name for it is "long non-coding RNA (SITA_LNC002449)". Lineage: Eukaryota; Viridiplantae; Streptophyta; Magnoliopsida; Poales; Poaceae. The record is from RNAcentral.